Molecule: long non-coding RNA, 520 nt
Organism: Mytilus californianus (California mussel)
Lineage: Eukaryota; Metazoa; Mollusca; Bivalvia; Mytilida; Mytilidae
Exons: 3
Source: RefSeq, a predicted model, not a curated record
AAAAUAUACCGGAUUUGGUAUUAAACGAGAAGAGAAGGAAGUGACAAUUAACUGUUCGAUGAAGAUAAUUUCAUAAUGGAGAGCGUGAUAUUCAUUCUCAUCGCUACAAUUGCCAUAGCAGUCUUUCACAGUAGGGUUGCCGUCAGCUUUAGAACAACUAAAGUAGUUCCUACGAGAAUUUUACAAAGACCCACGUUUCCAGUUCCUAAUGAAAAGAUCUGGUUAAAUCAUGCUAAUGAACAUCAUAGCAUAUAUACAGAUCUCACUAAACCUCGGCGGUUGAUGGAUGAAAGCCUUACCGUGUUUUCAACUUCUUUAUUUCCUGAGAAUGACAGAACUCGACCAACACUUGGUAACGGCCAUAUUGCCACAGUUGUCUAUACAGAUACGAUCUAUAUGAAUGGUCUCUACAAUGGGUUACGUGUAUUUAGUCACCGAGCAAGGAUACCAUCAACAUGUGCGAUUGAAGUUGUAUCCACUACCACCCGCAUUACAAAAUCGUCUUACUCAUUGGAUAUAG